UACAGGGGGUGCAAGCGUUACUCGGAUUUACUGGGCGUAAAGAGCGUGUAGGCGGUUUGUUAAGUCGGGUGUGAAAUCCCUGGGCUCAAUCCAGGAAGUGCAUUCGAUACUGACAGACUAGAGUGUCGGAGGGGUGAGCGGAAUUCCCGGUGUAGAGGUGAAAUUCGUAGAUAUCGGGAGGAACAACAGAGGCGAAGGCGGCUCACUGGACGAUUACUGACGCUAAGGCGCGAAAGCGUGGGGAGCAAACAGG
This 253-nucleotide ribosomal RNA is filed under the name uncultured bacterium. Its description in RNAcentral is "partial 16S ribosomal RNA". It matches the Rfam family "Bacterial small subunit ribosomal RNA", at positions 524 to 776 of the family's 1533-position model. The record is from RNAcentral.